AGAUAACUCACAUUUCUUUUCUUCUUUCUUAUUCUUAUUUCUUCUCGUUUCUUCUUCCUUCUUCUACUUUUCCUCUCUUCUUCCUCUGUGAGAGUUCGAGUGAUCAAAUUGAGAGUUGAUAGAGAGAUUUUGAUUACUGAAGCUAUUCAGAUGAUGAAGCAGGUGUUGUCGAUGUAAUUAGGAAGGAGGAUAUUAGAGAUUGGUAAGACUUUAUGAUGAAUCAGAGAGAAGCAGAAUUAGGUUUUUGAGAUUGAUGUUGAGUGCAUGAUGAAACUGAUAGGUGAUUCGGGUUGUUGUUAGAUGGAGAUCGAGAAGGGUUAUUGUAUGACUGAUCCGGAAGAGUCGUGUUAGUGAAAAAAUACUGAACUAGGGUUUGUAAGAAAUUCAGAGAGGCAGUAGAAGAUGAAAUUGAAUCUUUGGAAGAUUAAUUGGAGAUGGGUUUGACGUGAAUUAGAGUAUUUGAAUGAAGCAGGGUUGUGCUAGCUGUGAAGAUUGAUUCAAUUUAAGAAUUAUGGUAUGUCCCGUUCUUCCCCAAAUUGAGAAAUUUGGGUUUCUUAUUGAAAAUCUUGGUUAAGAAGGAGUUAACGGAUGGGUUUUGAUGAACAAGAAGUGAAGAGGAAGAUUUUGAUGCUAAUUUGCAGAUCCAGUUACUGAGAAGACUUCAAUUUCAGAGUUGAGGUAAUUGUCUUCCUCUGUAAAGUUAGUAAGAUUAUUAUCUUAUUGUUGUGUUUCAAGUCGAUGUUGUUGUAUCUGGUUGGUUCUUUGCACCUAGUUUUGGUGUAGCAGUUAUAUUUCGAUUCAUCCUGUUCUUCCAAGGAUUUCAUAAUUGGACGUUGAACCCAUUUCAUAUGAUGGGAGUUGCCGGUGUAUUGGGUGAUGCUCUCUUGGAAUGAAUGGGCUUUCACGCACGAAUCCAGCGACCGAGGAAGGAGCACUUUGCUUUCCAACCGGCUAAGGUAUUCCGAUUGACCCACCCCGGAAUCGAGGAGUAGGGACGGGAAGAUCUAAGCAAGCUUCGACUAUAUGAGUGACAUCUACAGAAUUUACUUACGCUUUGCGCGGUCAUAAACAGUGGUCUUGAUUUUGAUUAUAUCACUAUGAUGGUGAUGAAUGAAGAUUAUGGAGUUUAUUUUGUUUCUUGAGAUGAUGAUUGAACUAUGAGUUGUUGGAAUAUUUUGGUUGUUGCAGUAAUGAGAGUUAUACCCAUGAUCUGAGUUCAUAUGAAUUACAAUUAUGGGGAUUAAUGAUGAAUGAGUUUUAAUGAAAUUGAGAUUAUGAGAUGAGUCGCAACUGAGGUUGAAUUGCAGGCUGGGAAGAUGUGAUGGGACUGUUUCUGUAGUUAUAUGUGGUUUUAAUAAUAACGGGUUUGAGUAACUGUGGUUAAUGGUUUGAGUUUGAUCUUAACUGAAACUGCAAGAGGUAUAUGAAUUGAUGAAGGUGUUGCCUGAGUUGAAGUUAGUGAAUGGAGAUGUUGUUAUGGUUGCAGCUAGUGAUAGUUUUAAUAGAAGCUUGUUGUUGAAAGUACUGAGUUUGGUGGUAUUGUAGACUAUAAGAAAUAAGUUCUAAAGAAUAUGUUUUGGUGUGUGUUGGUGGCUGAUUGGAUAUACAGCUGAGAUUACUCUGCUUUGCAGAAGAGUUGUAGUUACUGGAGUUGGUUAUGCUAAUGGUAAGCCAGUUAGGGAACAAUCUUGCAAUUUGGGGAGACUAGUGAUUAGGUUGGUUUAGUUGGGAACCUGAAGUUGCAAAAUAGUGAAUAUAGAGUUGUAGGUAGUCGUUGUUGUGAAAAGCUUAAAACUGCUAUUGCUGUUAGUCUAUAUUAACGACAAUCGAUUCAAAGGAUGAACUGGUGGAUCAUGGAUCUCGAGGUAGGCGUGGCUUGUCAAAAGAGUUUCAGAGACAAACCAGAGUUGCGCAGCGAAAUCUUCAAGGAGUUGACUCUGUUAAUUAGUUAACUUCUGCUAUGUUUAUUAUGUUGUAUAUUCUGUUUGUAAACUAAAUGACUAUUGUAUAUGUAUCAUUUGAGAGGAGUUCUUAUUUAUAUAUUUCUUAGCGGGGUUAGUUCUUAUGUAGCAUAUUUCUUAAUUGAAUAUUUAAGUAAAUGAUUUAGAUUC
This is a long non-coding RNA of Papaver somniferum (opium poppy), 2111 nucleotides long. RefSeq lists it as uncharacterized. The record is from RefSeq and is a predicted model, not a curated record. Lineage: Eukaryota; Viridiplantae; Streptophyta; Magnoliopsida; Ranunculales; Papaveraceae. The transcript has 2 exons.